Long non-coding RNA from Trifolium pratense (red clover), 1069 nucleotides. RefSeq lists it as uncharacterized. The record is from RefSeq and is a predicted model, not a curated record. NCBI's taxonomy places the organism in Eukaryota, Viridiplantae, Streptophyta, Magnoliopsida, Fabales, Fabaceae. The transcript has 3 exons.
AAUCAAAUCUCUAUUAAUUUUUAGUCAAUUUUCUUUCGGUACAAAACACUAGUCCAAUUCCCUCAAAAAAAAAAAAAAAAAAACACUAGUCCAAUCUAAACACAAAACUCCACCGUGUGCCUUCCUUCUCCUUCGUCUCCUACUCUUCAAACACCACCGCAAAAUCGAAAAUCUACCUCAAUCUGUAGCUCUCUAAAUUACCUCUCACUGUUCAAUCCCUAGAUUUUUAGGGUUUCAGAUCUAUAUUCCCUUUCACCAUUCAAUCCCUAGCUUUUUAGGGUUUUCGAUCUAUUCCUCUUCCUCGUGUUUUUUCUUUGACCAAAAUUAAUGGCUUCAAUCCGAAAGACCCUAUCUCCCCGACCUUCUUAGUGGCGUUAUAGUUUCAGAGAUUAUCUAGCGGCGUUGGUGGCUACGAUAAGGGUUUCAUGGUUGAUCAUGUAAGCUUUAGCUUAAGCACGAACACUGAGAAGGAAUUAACAGAUUGUAGAUCUGAAUUUGUUGAAGGAUUUUUUCUGGUUUGUGGUUCUAGGUAUUUUGGUGGGGUUUUUGAAAUCAAGUCAUGUGUGAAUCCACUGAGAUAAGGGAAAACAUCUUCUAGAGUUCUAGCAAACUAUAUUUUGUCAAUCUCAAGUCAUUUUGCAACACCAAAGUUUUGCAUUGGAGAAAUACGAUGAAAAGGAAUUACGAUCAAAGAAAGGUUGGAAUUGAUAAUGAUCGUUUAAAGAAAGUAACAUAAGGCAUAUUGUAGGUGAUUCUUCGUAUGAUUAAGUAGCCAAGAUUGUGGGGGUAUUGAAAGGAAAUUUACUAUUUUACAGUUUGCUCAAUUUUAGUUGUAUUUAUAGUUUUGAGAAAAUAUUGUCUUAGUUUGUAUUAAAAAGUCAUGGGAGCAUUAACCAUGACUUUAGGUGUUUUAUAGUUUUUUAUUUGAAUAAGUCUUCAGGUGUUUUAUAGUAGCAGUACAUGUUUGCUACUUUUUAGUACCCAUACCAUAGAGUGGAGGUACUCCACUAUGCAUUUAUGUAAUACUAUACAAAUAUUUGAAUAAAGGAUUUCAUGUAUUUUUGCCUCA